Herpailurus yagouaroundi (jaguarundi) is the source of this 3167-nucleotide long non-coding RNA. RefSeq lists it as uncharacterized. The transcript is spliced from 5 exons. Lineage: Eukaryota; Metazoa; Chordata; Mammalia; Carnivora; Felidae. The record is from RefSeq and is a predicted model, not a curated record.
CAUUGUGCGCUCUGGAAAGAAUUACUCUUUACAAGUUACGCACCAGGCAGGCGGGCCAGAGGCGGGGAGCCCUCAAAGCACCGGCUCGGAGCGGGUCGAACGCUAUGCACACUUUUCAUUCUUGAGAACCCCAAGGAACAAAAUGUUAUUGGCAUCCUCUCCAGCAACAAAGAACAGCUGCAUCUGUUUGGGACAUUUCCCAGGCCGCUUCUUCCUCCAUGUGUGAAGGAUACCGUUGAUCUGUCGACCCAGCCCUGAAGAGGGAGCUUGGAUUCUCACCAGCCUCCUUUGCCAGCACUCGUGCAGCUGCUGGGUAUGCCAGAAACAGAGGAUAAAGAUGGAAAGACAAGAACUACUGGGGCCAUUUUGCUGCUAGGAUGAAAAGAGCUCAAGGAGGAAGCCAAUGCGAAGAGAAGUGUGCAGCUAAGUGGAUCCCAGUCUGAGGUCUGGAGAAGGAGGUCCCGAAGAGAGGAGGAGAUUCAUUGCUUGAGGUCGCACAGAGCUCGAGGCAGAGUUGGGAAGAAAACUCUGUACCUACCAUGUCACCCAGGUCACUUUGCCGAUUAACCACUGGCCACGGCACUGAAGCUCCCAUGUUCCCUCACUUCCCUCCAGAGGGCAGAUGCCAUCAUUAUUGCCGUUUUUCCAGAAUGAGGGAAGAGCUGUACCAAAGAGCUUAAGUCACGUAUUCUCGGACUGUGUGUGGGAUGAUUGAAGAUCUUUCAGCAGACACUUCGGUGUGACCUGCGAAGAAGCAGCGGUGUCCCCCGAGCCCCCCUUCCCAGUCUUGCUGGCUGGGCCUGCCGUCAGAGUUCAGUUCUGUCUGCCUGGAAGCUAUCUUCUCAUGCGAGGUGCUCGCCGGAGUGCUUGAGGAUGGAGCAGGGCCAGGCCAAGCUUGCGAAACAGAUUUAAGGCGAGGGUUUUGUGCCUGCUUGGCGAUAGUGCUGCUUGUUUAGCAGAAUUUGAUCUCAGACUUGCUGCCAUGGUAACGGGCACCUGUCAGCGAGCUUGUCCAGGGCUGCUUUACCUCUGAUCGCCAGAGAUUGCUAUUGUCUCCCAGAAGCCCUGACAAUUGCCUAACUAUCCCACAGCCGAGGGCAGCUUGAAACUGCCCCAGGUCUAGGGCUGCUAGGUGGCAGUGCUCACAUAAAAGGUAUUAGCACGGCACACUGCCACUCUGUCAGAGGAGGUGCACCCAGGCCAGCAGGGUCCUGGCGAGGAGGCAGGGCUUUUGGGCAAAGGGCAGAACUAGAGACAGUAGUUGUUUUAAGAGGAGAGAUUCCUUCGAGUCAGGAAAGGGGGUGAUGGCAUGAAGGCCUAGAAUUAGGUGCCUCUAAUUCUAGAGGUGGAGGGAGGAGAAGCUUCUGCCUGGUGGCUCACGUUUCCUUGGUGAAGCGGAGAUCCAGGACUCGGGUUGAAGUAAAGGGGGUGGGAUUGGUAGAGGGCUUAAGUUCAGCGGCGACUGGACAAAGUGCCUUUUGUUUGCCCCGUUCACAGUCGUCUGGGAAGCAGGGCUAUCCAGGACCAGGAGGGUAGAGCUUCUCUGAAGAGAAGCCUAGGAGGCUGAGCAUAGAUGGCCCUAGGGUCUAGGUAGAGCAUUUGUCCCGACCCCUGGCACCUAUUAAGAUGUCCAGGUCAUUCAAUAGGAGGCCAAGGAUCCCUGCCCGUCCUUCUCAUGAUCAGUGAGAAGAAGGACAAAGCACAGGCUGAGGGACCAAGUAGCCAGAGACACUUGCUCAGCAGGGCUCAGCGAGUCUGGAAGGGGAAGAUGACGGGGCAUUUUCCUGUCUCUUCCGAAAGUGCAUGGGAGUUUUGGAUGCGCAUCUUGAAUUUUAAGACUCCCUGAGGUCAAAGAGGAGGACAGUCAGUUCUGGAGGAGAUGAAACGGCUUUGCCUUUUGUUUCUCUGCAAGAGCUGAUGAAUAAUUCAAGGCAAUGGUGAGGAAGUGGGCUCUGUAGGACAGGCCAGCUUGGAGCAGGUUCAUCCUGGUGGGUUGCCGUGGGACUGAGCUCUGUCUCCAUCUUGUAUGCUCCUCAGCCUCCCUGGCCCUGAGCCCACAUGGCUCCCGUGGAGCCGUGCUCCUUUUCAGCCAAGGGGAUGAAUGUCUGCUACAGAAAGGCCCUGGAAGAACUGCAAAACUCAGGCAGAGACAAGCAGGCGUGAAGAGGCCAGCUGCCUUCCUCUCAGGCAUUUGCUUUGUACUGCGAGGACCAAUGAGGGGCACUGCUAAGGGACGGGGAGAGGCGAGAAAGUGGGUUGGCUGGCUGGGGAAUCCCACAGGCCUGCUGGACCCUGUGUGGCCACGGGCUUCUUUCUCUACUCAGCUGGAGACAGUCUGUCCGAGACGGACAAAAUGCACCUUUUAAGUAGCCCUUCCCCCAGGACUCACCUUUGAUCUCCAUUUGCUGGUUCCCAUUUAAAGGCGUAGAUGUCAAGAGCCCUCCAAUGCAGCAGAUGCCCACCUCCAGCUGGAACUGAAUUUACACACCAGUAAAUCAGGGAGUUAAUAAUCAAACUGUCUGGAUUUUGCCUUCAAAUUCGGCCAUCAGUGUAUUCUUAUUGUAUCCUGUAACACCUAAAAAUACCUUUGAGGCACUUUAAGUACACAAAACACCACACUGCUUGUCUUUGUAAGAGUGGCCGUGCAAAGGUCCUGGCACCAACGCCUGAUCACCCAACGCAAGAGCCGGCUGCCGCCUUCCUCACCGCGUGGAAGACUUGAAGACUUGCCUAGGCAGCCACACGUGAAGGAAGAGAAAAGGGUGUCCGUGCAAAAUAAUGGCAUUUCUGGGUAUCAUGUUUUCUUUAUGUAGGUAUUCAGCUCUAUGAAAGUGUGUUUAGCGACUCAGUCAUAAACGAAUUUGAGAACUUUUGGCAGUCAAACCAAGGUCUUGUAUGGGACAAGGGAAUGGAUGUUGUUCUCAGGAAACCCCUCAUCAGUCUUCAGCAAUGUUCCCCAAAAUACAGAGGAAGGGAACCCCUGUGUGGGUGCAAAUUCUCCUCCAGGACUCAACCUCCUGACUUAGAGGCAGUCCCUGCAGUCAGCAUGGUCUGACACCUUUUUGGUCCCCCAGGAAAAAUUAGACAUCUUCAUUUGAACAGAAGUCCUCACUGUUUUGUAAAGUAGUGCUCCCCUCUCCAAAUAAAAACAUGGACCUGAGAGUAAA